CCUACCUGGCUGAAUGAGAGAGAGAGUGCCUGCCAAGUCCAUAUUAUUGCCCAAGACUAGAGUUCCUGCUUUCAUCCGUCCUGCCUCCACUAGUUCAGGUAUGAGCUAUUAGGCUUUAUAGAAUGGAAUUGCAUAGUUUGCAUCUGGAUAAGCUCCUUUAUUGUAAGUUAGUACGUUUAUUAGAUACUAUUGUAAUAUGUCCUAUUCAUAGUCUUUAUAUAUUUUUUAAACAAAAUCAACAAGUGUUUUUGGUCCUGUUGUGUAAGUGAUUGAUGCAGAAUAGACCAGUGGAAGUUGCCAAAGAGCCAUCUGACAGGCCUCCUGUCACAUUUUCCCUGGAGACAUAUUUACUCCAUAGAGCCAUCUGACAGGCCUACUGUCACAUUUUCCCUGGGGACAUAUUUACUCCAUAGAGCCAUCUGACAGGCCUCCUGUCACAUUUUCCCUGGAGACAUAUUUACUCCAUAGAGCCAUCUGACAGGCCUACUGUCACAUUUUCCCUGGAGACAUAUUUACUCCAUAGAGCCAUCUGACAGGCCUACUGUCACAUUUUCCCUGGGGACAUAUUUACUCCAUAGAGCCAUCUGACAGGCCUCCUGUCACAUUUUCCCUGGAGACAUAUUUACUCCAUAGAGCCAUCUGACACAGGCCUACUGUCACAUUUUCCCUGGGGACAUAUUUACUCCAAAGAGCCAUCUGACAGGCCUACUGUCACAUUUUCCCUGGGGACAUAUUUACUCCAUAGAGCCAUCUGACAAACCUCAGGUCACAUUUUCCCUGGAGACAUAUUUACUCCAUAGAGCCAUCUGACAGGCCUACUGUCACAUUUUCCCUGGGGACAUAUUUACUCCAUAGAGCCAUCUGACAGGCCUACUGUCACAUUUUCCCUGGGGACAUAUUUACUCCAAAGAGCCAUCUGACAGGCCUACUGUCACAUUUUCCCUGGGGACAUAUUUACUCCAUAGAGCCAUCUGACAGGCCUACUGUCACAUUUUCCCUGGAGACAUAUUUACUCCAUAGAGCCAUCUGACAGGCCUACUGUCACAUUUUCCCUGGGGACAUAUUUACUCCAUAGAGCCAUCUGACAGGCCUACUGUCACAUUUUCCCUGGGGACAUAUUUACUCCAUAGAGCCAUCUGACAGGCCUACUGUCACAUUUUCCCUGGGGACAUAUUUACUCCAAAGAGCCAUCUGACAGGCCUACUGUCACAUUUUCCCUGGGGACAUAUUUACUCCAUAGAGCCAUCUGACAGGCCUCCUGUCACAUUUUCCCUGGAGACACAUUUGCUGCAAAGAGCAGAAACCCAUUGUGCUCUUAGUAGGCUACAGUGGGGAAGUUUAAAGCUAAAAGCAAUUCAAAAAUAAUUUAAUUACAAAUAAAGUGCAACAAAACUCUCACCAAAUUUUGCUUAUCAAUGUUCGCAUGUGUGUGUUUGUGUGUUACGGGCUUGCGAUCACUGACUCAUUGUGAUGCGAUGACCGACUGGCCGAAGAAACUGACCUCUAAACAGAACAUGGUAACGAGGGAGAAGGGGACAGAUGGUGACACGUCUCCUGUCCUCAGCAUCAAUGACCAUGGACUGACAAUUCAUAACCAUCGGUUGGUUCAUUGAGUAGGUUUGUAUGGACUUUGUUUAUAGUCUUCCAGUGUGGAAGAUGGGAGCAGUUGGUUAAAGAGUGACAUACAGUAUGGGCUGCAUCUCAGUAGUCUACAGUGGCUCCCUCUCCUCACCUUCAUUUGCACUGAUCUGAAAACAUAGGCUAGGUUAAAGCAAUAUGGUGGAAGCCUCAAAAGACAACAUAUAGUGUGCCUACCCUGUAUGUGUCCUCAGCCUUUCAGCGGUCUCUAUCUGAACCAUAGUGAAGUGGGGAUGUACCAGCGUGUGUCCUGCGACCCUCCCCUCUUCAGACCUCCCGCUCUCUCCUCUAGUUCAGAGGUGAAGUGUGACUCGGGCAUGGGCUGGCCGGCAUUCAAAGAGGCUCAUGGGAUUUGGGAACAUGACUAGAGCCACAUAUACAUCAUCCAUCACCCUGACAACACCCUGGGUAGUGUAGAGACAGAGGUUGUCUAUAAACAUUGUGUGUGCAUCGUUACAGUGUGACGCCCAUCUGGGUCAUGUGUUUGAGGAUGGACCGGACCCCACAGGAGAGAGGUUCUGCAUCAACAGCUUCUCUCUCAACUUCAGGCCCAGAGAACCCGGACCUGGUGACCAGUAGAACCUCCUAGAACCAUCUUAAAUCACCUAAGCCUGACCAGAACCAACCUUCAAACCCAGAGAACACAAACCCGAGGCCCAGUAGAACGCAACAGGCCCAAUAUCUGGAUCCCUAACCAGAGAUCUCAGCAUCAGGAAUACUGUUUUAUAUGUCUGUAUCUUUCUGUAACUGAUCAUAGAUGAGCUUGUGACCUAUAUUUACCUGGCUGUGUGGUCUUCCCAACCAUAGCCACAACUACUGUACAUUAUAUAGUGCCUUCGGAAAGUAUUCAGACCCCUUGACUUUUUCCGCAUUUUGUUACAUUACAGCCUUAUUCUAAAAUGUAUUCAAUAGAUUUUUUUCAUCAUCAGUCUACACACACACACAAUACCCCAUAAUGGCAAAGCAAACAGUUUUUAGAAAUGUUUGCAAAUGUAUAAAAACAUACAUUAUUUACAUAAGUAUUCAGACCAUUUGCUAUGAGACUCGUAAUUGACCUCAGGUGCAUCCUGUUUCCAUUGAUCAUCAUUGAGAUGUUUCUACAACUUGGAGUCCACCUGUGGUAAAUUCAAUUUAUUGGACAUUAUUUGGAAAGGCACACACCUGUCUAUAUAAGGUCCCACAGUUGAUAGUGCAUGUCAGAGCAACAACCAAGCCAGCUCUGAGACAGGAUUGUGUCAAGGCACAGAUCUAGGGAAGGGUACCAAUGCAUUUCUGCAGCUUUGAAGGUCCCCAAGAACACAGUUGCUUCAUCAUUCUUAAAUGGAAGAAGUUUGGAACCUCCAAGGUUUGCCGCCCAGUAAAAAAGAGCAAUUGGGAGAGAAGCACCUUGGUCAGGGAGGUGACCAAGAACUCAAUGGUCACUCUGACAGAGCUCUAGAGUUCCUCUAUUGAGAGGAAGGACAACUGUCUCUGCAUCACUCCACCAAUCAGGCCUUUAUGAUAAAGAGGCCAGACGGAAGCCACUCCUCAGUAAAAAAAAGGCACAUGAAAGCCCACUUGGAGUUUGCCAAAAGGCACCUAAAGACUCUCAGACCAUUAGAAACCAGAUUCUCUGGUCUGAUGAAACCAAGAUGGAACUCUUUGGCCUGAAUGCCAAGCAUCACGUUUGGAGGAAACCUGGCGCCAUCCCUACGGUGAAGCAUGGUGGUGGCAGCAUGAUGCUGUGGGGAUGUUUUUCUGGACAAGUUACUGAAUGUCCUGGAGUGGCCCAGUCAGAGCCCGGACUUCAACCCGAUCGAACAUCUCCGAAGAGACCUGAAAAUAGCUGAGCUGCAAUGCUCCCCAUCCAACCUGAGCGCGUGAGAGGAUCUGCAGGGAAGAAUGGGAGAAAUUCCCCAAAUACAGGUGUGCCAAGCUUGUAGCGUCGUACCCAAGAAGAGUCGAGGCUGUAAGUGCUACCAAAAGUGCUUUAAGAAAGUACUGAGUAAAGGGUCUGAAUACUUAUGUAAAUGUAUUUGUUUUUUGUUCGUAAUAUAUUAGCAAUAAUUUCAAAACUGUUUUUGCUUCGUCAUUAUGAGUUGUGUGUAGAUUGAGGAAAAAACAACAACAUUUCAAUCAAUUUUAGUAAGGCUGUAAUGUAACAAAAUGUGGAAAAAUUCAAAGGUCUGAAUUUCCGAAGGCACUGUUUGUUAAUGGUCACAUGUUGUAAUGCUUGUUAAAGGGUUUUCAAUCAAGUUCACUGGGAAUCUCAGAUUUAACUGAUAGGUCAUUAUGAGGUGAUGUCACUAAAGCUGCUGUAGGUUCCAUGACAGAAAAGUCUGAAAUUAGGAAGGAAUUCUAGUAUUGGCUCUAGAACUAAAAGGAAAGAAGAGCAGGGUGUCAAGAAGCAGAGCAGGGUGUCAAGAAGCAGAGCAGGGUGUCAAGAAGCAGAGCAGGGUGUCAAGAAGCAGAGCAGGGUGUCAAGAAGCAGCGCAGCUUGGCAAGGUUGAGUUUCAGAGGACGCAUGGCUCUCAACCUUCGCCUCUCCCGAGUCCGUAUGGGAGUUGCAGUGAUGGGACAAGACGAACUACCAGUUGGAUAAAAUUUGAUAUCACAAAAUUGGGGGUAAAAAGGGGUAAAAAGUAAAGAAAGGGGCACCACAGAGAGAGUGAGGGUCGGACACAAGAUAUUUAUUUAUUUCACCUUUAUUUAACCAGGUAGGCCAGUUGAGAAUAAGUUAUCAUUUACAACUGCGACCUGGCCAAGAUAAAGCAAAGAAGUGCGACAAAAAACAGUUACAUACAGUGCCUUGCGAAAGUAUUCGGCCCCCUUGAACUUUGCGACCUUUUGCCACAUUUCAGGCUUCAAACAUAAAGAUAUAAAACUGUAUUUUUUUGUGAAGAAUCAACAACAAGUGGGACACAAUCAUGAAGUGGAACAACAUUUAUUGGAUAUUUCAAACCUUUUUAACAAAUUAAAAACUGAAAAAUUGGGCGUGCAAAAUUAUUCAGCCCCUUUACUUUCAGUGCAGCAAACUCUCUCCAGAAGGUCAGUGAGGAUCUCUGAAUGAUCCAAUGUUGACCUAAAUGACUAAUGAUGAUAAAUACAAUCCACCUGUGUGUAAUCAAGUCUCCGUAUAA
Oncorhynchus masou masou (cherry salmon) is the source of this 4757-nucleotide long non-coding RNA. RefSeq lists it as uncharacterized. The transcript has 3 exons. The record is from RefSeq and is a predicted model, not a curated record. NCBI's taxonomy places the organism in Eukaryota, Metazoa, Chordata, Actinopteri, Salmoniformes, Salmonidae.